AUGCUUGGGAAUCUAGCUUAUGGAGGGGGAUAACUACGGGAAACUGUAGCUAAUACCGCGUAGAAUCGAGAGAUGAAAGUGUGGGACCUUCGGGCCACAUGCCAUAGGAUGAGCCCAAGUGGGAUUAGGUAGUUGGUGAGGUAAAGGCUCACCAAGCCGACGAUCUCUAGCUGGUCUGAGAGGAUGACCAGCCACACUGGGACUGAGACACGGCCCAG
This 218-nucleotide ribosomal RNA is filed under the name uncultured bacterium. RNAcentral describes it as "partial 16S ribosomal RNA". It matches the Rfam family "Bacterial small subunit ribosomal RNA", at positions 113 to 334 of the family's 1533-position model. The record is from RNAcentral.